UACGAAGGGGGCUAGCGUUGCUCGGAAUCACUGGGCGUAAAGGGUGCGUAGGCGGGUUUUAAGUCAGAGGUGAAAUCCUGGAGCUCAACUCCAGAACUGCCUUUGAUACUGAAAGUCUUGAGUAUGGGAGAGGUGAGUGGAACUGCGAGUGUAGAGGUGAAAUUCGUAGAUAUUCGCAAGAACACCAGUGGCGAAGGCGGCUCACUGGCUCGGUACUGACGCUGAGGUACGAAAGCGUGGGUAGCGAACGGGG
Molecule: ribosomal RNA, 253 nt
Filed under: uncultured bacterium
Lineage: Bacteria
Description: partial 16S ribosomal RNA
Rfam family: Bacterial small subunit ribosomal RNA
Source: RNAcentral